Molecule: transfer RNA, 76 nt
Filed under: Caulerpa sertularioides f. longipes
Lineage: Eukaryota; Viridiplantae; Chlorophyta; Ulvophyceae; Bryopsidales; Caulerpaceae
Description: tRNA-Trp
Rfam family: tRNA
About the family: Transfer RNA (tRNA) molecules are approximately 80 nucleotides in length. Their secondary structure includes four short double-helical elements and three loops (D, anti-codon, and T loops). Further hydrogen bonds mediate the characteristic L-shaped molecular structure. tRNAs have two regions of fundamental functional importance: the anti-codon, which is responsible for specific mRNA codon recognition, and the 3' end, to which the tRNAs corresponding amino acid is attached (by aminoacyl-tRNA synthetases). tRNAs cope with the degeneracy of the genetic code in two manners: having more than one tRNA (with a specific anti-codon) for a particular amino acid; and 'wobble' base-pairing, i.e. permitting non-standard base-pairing at the 3rd anti-codon position.
Source: RNAcentral
UGCGUCCUUAGUUCAGUCUGGAAGAACGUAGGUUUCCAAAACCUAAUGUCGUGGGUUCAAAUCCUACAGGACGCGA